CAGUCGCCGCGGUAAUACGUAGGGUGCGAGCGUUAAUCGGAUUUACUGGGCGUAAAGCGUGCGCAGGCGGCCCGUUAAGACAGGUGUGAAAUCCCUGGGCUCAACCUAGGAAUUGCGCUUGUGACUGGCGGGCUCGAGUACGGUAGAGGGGGGUGGAAUUCCUGGUGUAGCAGUGAAAUGCGUAGAGAUCAGGAGGAACACCGAUGGCAAAGGCAGCCCCCUGGGCCUGUACUGACGCUCAUGCACGAAAGCGUGGGGAGCAAACAGGAUUAGAUACCCGGGUAGUCCCUGUCUCUUAUAC
Molecule: ribosomal RNA, 301 nt
Filed under: uncultured bacterium
Lineage: Bacteria
Description: partial 16S ribosomal RNA
Rfam family: Bacterial small subunit ribosomal RNA
Source: RNAcentral